UUGCAACGGAUAAUCCGUUGCAAAUUAAAAAUGAAAUUACAACGGAUUAUCCGUUGCAA
RNAcentral lists this small RNA (59 nucleotides) under Salix viminalis (osier). The record is from RNAcentral. Lineage: Eukaryota; Viridiplantae; Streptophyta; Magnoliopsida; Malpighiales; Salicaceae.